RNAcentral lists this long non-coding RNA (2417 nucleotides) under Capra hircus (goat). RNAcentral describes it as "lncRNA (ENSCHIG00000002009.1)". Lineage: Eukaryota; Metazoa; Chordata; Mammalia; Artiodactyla; Bovidae. The record is from RNAcentral.
UUUUUGUUCCAACAGAAGGUGACUCUUGUUCGUGAUGGAGAGAAGGGGGCACCAGCAUGACCUUGAGGCUGAGGAUACCACCAGGGGCGGUGGAAGAGGAAACAGAGGUUCACAGAGGACCAGUGAUGUGCCAAGCCCAGUGAUGACUGUCUGCGCCCUGUGCGGGUGAGGAAGCGACGACAGCUCCACGGCACCAGAUGUGGGCUCGAGGCCUGAAUACCAGCAGCCUGUGAAGAAAGUGCAGGUUUUCCGGACUGUUUUUCACCCAGCUGAGCAGAGGCAGGGCUGUUAGUCCUCAUCACGGUAGAUGAUCACGGGCCACGCGUGGUCAGAUGCUUGUUCUGGGAAGCUGGGUCUUCAGAGCGUGAGACUGUCGCCGCUCCCCCUUGUCCGUGUGCUGGAGGCUCCUAACCCGCAAGACUUAAGGAGGCCCCAGCGCCCUGGUGGGCUGCUUCUCCCACCCCAGGCGUGUGCCUUCUGGACUCAACCUGGUUGUAGGUGUGCAGUCCUCUCUCCUCUUUUGAACGCCUGACUUUAUUCACACGGGCGGGCCUCGCGACAACCUUCUCCGUGAGACACUCUGCAGGAGCUCGUCCCAGACUUGGCCAUCUCCCCAGAUGUCCGGCCAUUUCCAAGCUGGUUGUGCAUCAGAAUCACCACUGUUCUCUGGAGACACGGACGCCUGGCCCCAGGCCCCCUGUGCUGCUUCACAGGCCCGAGCUGGGGCCUUGGGCACCUGCAGAUGUAACAAGUCCUGCAGGUCCAGCCAUCCCAGCCCCUACGCUUGGCCCUGGUUCUGCCCCAGGUCCAAGGAGACGCAUCCGUUGCCCACAUGGAGACAGCACCGUGGGUUCACUCCCCUCCCGGCUCCCACAGGAUCUACGAGGGCCCCUUGGGGAGACAGGAGCCGGGAGACGUGAUGUCCCCGUCUGGAGGUGCAAGCUGCUAAUUGUUUUGUUUUGCGUUAUCGGCAUCUGCGGGAAGAGAGAGCAAACACCGCCACUGCCCGGCCUGCCGUCCCUGGAGGUGACCACCCUGUGGUCAGGGCUCUUGGCACAGAACCUGUCAGACGCACAGCUGAGCACCCCGUCUGGCUGCCCCUGUGUCCUUGCUGCUAAGACAGUUGUGCCUACACGCUGCCCUGAGAACAGGCGCUGUGGUGACUGCCACGCCUUCCUGCAGCAGCAUCAGGAACAUACUUCCUUCUCCUUCUCGAAGAUUCCAGGCGGAACCUCUCAGCUCUGCGCCACAAACUGAACGCCUCCACCAAGUUUUCUCUCUCUAAUUUUAAGGGCACGUUUCCCCCCAAGCUGCAGCUCUGGGCUCUCAGAGGAUGCUGGCAGGCCAGAGCACACAGGGGCGAGGGGUGGGGGAAUGACUAGGGCCUCCCUUACAAAACACCUUCAGUGUUUCUUUUUAAGUGGGUGGGUGGGUUCUCAGAUGCAGAGAAAACCCACAGUGGCAGCCCUGUGUCUCUUGUAGGAAGAGGAAGUGCCUUGUCUGCUGAGAGGAGCUCCAUUCAGCCUCUGAGCCUCAGUUUCCCUGUUUGUGAAACCAAGAACUAAUCCUCCCUGCAACUGCAUCACAGGGCUUUCUCAAGAGGAUAAAAUUUAAUCAGGUUCAACAAGCUGUGUAUUAAUACAACACUUAAACUGCUUCCCAAAUGACGUGCUGAGGGAAUACACGUGUGCAUAAAAUGAGAUGUCGUUCCCAGAAGAAACGGAAAAUGCAGAGGAAGGCACACUCGUGUUAGCAAGCAGGAUGCAGCGCUGAAUUAGUGAUCGUGAGGCAACCACGGCCCCGGAAGCCCCGUCUCCACAGCAGGCUGUGCCCUUGCUGGCCUGUGCCCACCCUGCUCCCAAAUGAUGAGGGUCCAUCACACGCCCACAAAGGGGAGAACCCAGCCCAUCCUGUUGGGAGUGGAGACGGUGACCCCUGGGCACAGGGGCCAUGUCUCUUGAACCUCCUGGUGCCUCAAGCCCAGCAGAGUACCUGGCACAAGCUCAGCCUCUGAGCUUUUUUUAACCAUGAAACAAACAGAUGCACAGCGACCAGUAUAACAGUUUGAGAACCACAGCACCGCCCUGCCCCAACUUGCUUCCCAUCUUCUUCAUCACCUAAGGAAGCAUCACUACCGUUUAGCUUUUCCUCCUUUGAACCAGGUCUGAAUGGACGUCAACAGACAUCUUCUGGGACAUGUGUUUCUGUUCUCCGCCGUAUUGAGACUCAGUUAGUUAACGUUCUCUCCAGGGCAGGACUGACGGUGGUGGGUGCAGUCAAUGCUGCUGAAUGCAGGCAGGGGCUGUGAAGGCAAAUACCCCGUGUGCCCAGCCGAGGAGGAGAGAGUUGGGAGCCCGCGGGAGCCCGAAGGCCAGGCUGGGCAACAGCUGCACUGCUUGGACCCUGCAGGGCGUGGC